Molecule: ribosomal RNA, 2843 nt
Filed under: Cronobacter sakazakii
Lineage: Bacteria; Pseudomonadati; Pseudomonadota; Gammaproteobacteria; Enterobacterales; Enterobacteriaceae
Description: partial 23S ribosomal RNA
Rfam family: Bacterial large subunit ribosomal RNA
Source: RNAcentral
GGGUUGUGAGGUUAAGCGAACAAGCGUACACGGUGGAUGCCCUGGCAGUCAGAGGCGAUGAAGGACGUGCUAAUCUGCGAAAAGCGCCGGUAAGGUGAUAUGAACCGUUAUAACCGGCGAUGUCCGAAUGGGGAAACCCGGUGCACUUCGGUGCAUCAUCGUUAGCUGAAUACAUAGGCUAACGAGGCGAACCGGGGGAACUGAAACAUCUAAGUACCCCGAGGAAAAGAAAUCAACCGAGAUUCCCCCAGUAGCGGCGAGCGAACGGGGAACAGCCCAGAGCCUGAAUCAGCUUGUGUGUCAGUGGAACGGUCUGGAAAGGCCGGCGAUACAGGGUGACAGCCCCGUACACGAAGGCACACAGGCUGUGAGCUCGAUGAGUAGGGCGGGACACGUGAUAUCCUGUCUGAAGAUGGGGGGACCAUCCUCCAAGGCUAAAUACUCCUGACUGACCGAUAGUGAACCAGUACCGUGAGGGAAAGGCGAAAAGAACCCCGGCGAGGGGAGUGAAACAGAACCUGAAACCGUGUACGUACAAGCAGUGGGAGCCUUCGUAAGAGGGUGACUGCGUACCUUUUGUAUAAUGGGUCAGCGACUUAUAUUCUGUAGCAAGGUUAACCGUAUAGGGGAGCCGAAGGGAAACCGAGUCUUAACCGGGCGUUAAGUUGCAGGGUAUAGACCCGAAACCCGGUGAUCUAGCCAUGGGCAGGUUGAAGGUUGGGUAACACUAACUGGAGGACCGAACCGACUAAUGUUGAAAAAUUAGCGGAUGACCUGUGGCUGGGGGUGAAAGGCCAAUCAAACCGGGAGAUAGCUGGUUCUCCCCGAAAGCUAUUUAGGUAGCGCCUCGUGAACUCAUCUCCGGGGGUAGAGCACUGUUUCGGCUAGGGGGCCAUCCCGGCUUACCAACCCGAUGCAAACUGCGAAUACCGGAGAAUGUUAUCACGGGAGACACACGGCGGGUGCUAACGUCCGUCGUGAAGAGGGAAACAACCCAGACCGCCAGCUAAGGUCCCAAAGUCAUGGUUAAGUGGGAAACGAUGUGGGAAGGCCCAGACAGCCAGGAUGUUGGCUUAGAAGCAGCCAUCAUUUAAAGAAAGCGUAAUAGCUCACUGGUCGAGUCGGCCUGCGCGGAAGAUGUAACGGGGCUAAACCAUGCACCGAAGCUGCGGCAGCGACACUAUGUGUUGUUGGGUAGGGGAGCGUUCUGUAAGCCUGUGAAGGUGUGCUGUGAGGCAUGCUGGAGGUAUCAGAAGUGCGAAUGCUGACAUAAGUAACGAUAAAGCGGGUGAAAAGCCCGCUCGCCGGAAGACCAAGGGUUCCUGUCCAACGUUAAUCGGGGCAGGGUGAGUCGACCCCUAAGGCGAGGCCGAAAGGCGUAGUCGAUGGGAAACAGGUUAAUAUUCCUGUACUUGGUGUUACUGCGAAGGGGGGACGGAGAAGGCUAUGUCGGCCGGGCGACGGUUGUCCCGGUUUAAGCGUGUAGGCUGACUUUCCAGGCAAAUCCGGAAGGUUAAGGCUGAGGCGUGAUGACGAGGCACCACGGUGCUGAAGUGACAAAUGCCCUGCUUCCAGGAAAAGCCUCUAAGCAUCAGGUAACAUCAAAUCGUACCCCAAACCGACACAGGUGGUCAGGUAGAGAAUACCAAGGCGCUUGAGAGAACUCGGGUGAAGGAACUAGGCAAAAUGGUGCCGUAACUUCGGGAGAAGGCACGCUGACAUGUAGGUGAAGCCCCUGCGGGUGGAGCUGAAGUCAGUCGAAGAUACCAGCUGGCUGCAACUGUUUAUUAAAAACACAGCACUGUGCAAACACGAAAGUGGACGUAUACGGUGUGACGCCUGCCCGGUGCCGGAAGGUUAAUUGAUGGGGUUAUCGCAAGAGAAGCUCCUGAUCGAAGCCCCGGUAAACGGCGGCCGUAACUAUAACGGUCCUAAGGUAGCGAAAUUCCUUGUCGGGUAAGUUCCGACCUGCACGAAUGGCGUAAUGAUGGCCAGGCUGUCUCCACCCGAGACUCAGUGAAAUUGAACUCGCUGUGAAGAUGCAGUGUACCCGCGGCAAGACGGAAAGACCCCGUGAACCUUUACUACAGCUUGACACUGAACAUUGAGCCUUGAUGUGUAGGAUAGGUGGGAGGCUUUGAAGCGUGGACGCCAGUCUGCGUGGAGCCGACCUUGAAAUACCACCCUUUAAUGUUUGAUGUUCUAACCUGGCGCCGUGAUCCGGCGUGGGGACAGUGUCUGGUGGGUAGUUUGACUGGGGCGGUCUCCUCCCAAAGUGUAACGGAGGAGCACGAAGGUCAGCUAAUCCUGGUCGGACAUCAGGAGGUUAGUGCAAUGGCAUAAGCUGGCUUGACUGCGAGAGUGACGGCUCGAGCAGGUGCGAAAGCAGGUCAUAGUGAUCCGGUGGUUCUGUAUGGAAGGGCCAUCGCUCAACGGAUAAAAGGUACUCCGGGGAUAACAGGCUGAUACCGCCCAAGAGUUCAUAUCGACGGCGGUGUUUGGCACCUCGAUGUCGGCUCAUCACAUCCUGGGGCUGAAGUAGGUCCCAAGGGUAUGGCUGUUCGCCAUUUAAAGUGGUACGCGAGCUGGGUUUAGAACGUCGUGAGACAGUUCGGUCCCUAUCUGCCGUGGGCGCUGGAGAAUUGAGGGGGGCUGCUCCCAGUACGAGAGGACCGGAGUGGACGCAUCACUGGUGUUCGGGUUGUCAUGCCAAUGGCACUGCCCGGUAGCUAAAUGCGGAAGAGAUAAGUGCUGAAAGCAUCUAAGCACGAAACUUGCCCCGAGAUGAGUUCUCCCUGAGACUGUAAGUCUCCUGAAGGAACGUUGAAGACGACGACGUUGAU